AAAUGAGCGUUGAAAAGAUAAGUACAGAUCAGAGUAUCAUCUCAGAGAGCUUCCGUUGGGUGAAAGGGAGCAUGAUAAUCGAUUUGGAAAAUGGUCUUUGAGCAGAAGUAGUGAGUGAUGUCAUGAGCUAUUUCCGGUUGCACCCGGUACAGUGCCACAGUAUGCAGGAGCCGUUUUGGACUUCUAAGUACUGGUAGAGGUUGUUUUAGUGAUAAAGCAACAAACAAAGGUGGAACCGCGCUAACUUAACUAAAUUAGUCGCCCUUUUU
This 269-nucleotide non-coding RNA is filed under the name Alkalibacterium sp. RNAcentral describes it as "T-box sequence". It matches the Rfam family "T-box leader". Rfam says of the family: Uncharged tRNA acts as the effector for transcription antitermination of genes in the T-box leader family. T-boxes are found upstream of many aminoacyl-tRNA synthetase genes and some amino acid biosynthetic genes usually in Gram-positive bacteria. Lineage: Bacteria; Bacillati; Bacillota; Bacilli; Lactobacillales; Carnobacteriaceae. The record is from RNAcentral.